GGCCCUCUAGCUGUCCGAUCUCAAAGAGUCCCUGGAGGAAGAAAGAGAAAAUGGCAACUCAAACAAUCAAGUCACUGACAUAAGAAAACAGUAACCAGAGAUGAUGUGAGAAGAAAUAAACUGACAGCAUGAUGAAGGCAUGAGAAGGAUAAAAUGAGGAAGUGAGUGGAUGCAAGCUAAAGAGA
Molecule: non-coding RNA, 185 nt
Organism: Pseudonaja textilis
Lineage: Eukaryota; Metazoa; Chordata; Lepidosauria; Squamata; Elapidae
Source: RefSeq, a predicted model, not a curated record